AUACGUAGGGUGCGAGCGUUGUCCGGAAUUACUGGGCGUAAAGAGCUCGUAGGUGGUUUGUCGCGUCGUCUGUGAAAUUCCGGGGCUUAACUCCGGGCGUGCAGGCGAUACGGGCAUAACUUGAGUACUGCAGGGGAGACUGGAAUUCCUGGUGUAGCGGUGAAAUGCGCAGAUAUCAGGAGGAACACCGGUGGCGAAGGCGGGUCUCUGGGCAGUAACUGACGCUGAGGAGCGAAAGCAUGGGUAGCGAACAGGAUUAGAUCCCCUGGUAGUCCAUGCCGUAAACGGUGGGCGCUAGGUGUAGGGGUCUUCCACGACUUCUGUGCCGUAGCUAACGCAUUAAGCGCCCCGCCUGGGGAGUACGGCCGCAAGGCUAAAACUCAAAGGAAUUGACGGGG
This 398-nucleotide ribosomal RNA is filed under the name uncultured bacterium. RNAcentral's name for it is "partial 16S ribosomal RNA". It matches the Rfam family "Bacterial small subunit ribosomal RNA", at positions 523 to 918 of the family's 1533-position model. The record is from RNAcentral.